RNAcentral lists this small RNA (134 nucleotides) under Salmonella enterica. RNAcentral describes it as "RtT sRNA". It matches the Rfam family "RtT RNA". Rfam says of the family: This family represents a bacterial cis-regulatory element known as RtT RNA. The exact function of RtT is unknown although it is thought that it may be involved in changing the cellular response in relation to amino acid starvation. Lineage: Bacteria; Pseudomonadati; Pseudomonadota; Gammaproteobacteria; Enterobacterales; Enterobacteriaceae. The record is from RNAcentral.
UGUAUCUGAAGCCUGACGAGGAUGAGAACCUCCGGGGGCAAGAGGUUCGACCCGAGCGAAGAGAGAAAACGUUGCGUCAGCAACGGCCCGCAGGGCGAGCCACGUAGUGGCGAGUCAUCCUCUAUCACCGACCA